Molecule: long non-coding RNA, 219 nt
Filed under: Olea europaea (common olive)
Lineage: Eukaryota; Viridiplantae; Streptophyta; Magnoliopsida; Lamiales; Oleaceae
Description: long non-coding RNA (OEUR_LNC013450)
Source: RNAcentral
UCGGAUAAAAAUUAGAUAAUUCACAAAACCAGCAAUCAGAUUACAUACCAAAAUAUGCUAUCUGAAAUAAAUAAAGAAGAAGAUCAGAAAACAGUACACACUAAUAGAAGAAUUAUGCUAUGUGUACACCUCAUGGUGGCCCUCCAUGUUAGGUGCGGCGGCGGGGGAGGUGUAAUCCAUUGUGUACAUGGUGUACACAUUGUCCCUACCCAUUUCAGC